Molecule: ribosomal RNA, 1315 nt
Filed under: unidentified marine bacterioplankton
Lineage: Bacteria
Description: bacterial SSU rRNA
Rfam family: Bacterial small subunit ribosomal RNA
Source: RNAcentral
GAGUUUGAUCAUGGCUCAGAACGUACGCUGGCGGCACGCCUAACACAUGCAAGUCGAACGAAGUAGCAAUACUUAGUGGCAGACGGGUGAGUAACAUGUAGGUAUCUACCCUUUGGCCUGGAAUAACACGAGGAAACUUGUGCUAAUACCGGAUAAGUCUUUACGGAGAAAGCUUUAUGCACCAUUGGAUGAGCCUGCACUUGAUUAGUUUGUUGGUGGGGUAAUGGCCUACCAAGACUUUGAUCAAUAGCUGAUUUGAGAGGAUGAUCAGCCACAUUGGGACUGAGACACGGCCCAAACUCCUACGGGAGGCAGCAGUGGGGAAUCUUGCACAAUGGAGGAAACUCUGAUGCAGCGAUGCCGCGUGAGUGAAGAAGGCCUUUGGGUUGUAAAGCUCUUUCGUCGGGGAAGAAAAUGACUGUACCCGAAUAAGAAGGUCCGGCUAACUUCGUGCCAGCAGCCGCGGUAAUACGAAGGGACCUAGCGUAGUUCGGAAUUACUGGGCUUAAAGAGUUCGUAGGUGGUUGAAAAAGUUGGUGGUGAAAUCCCAGAGCUUAACUCUGGAACUGCCAUCAAAACUUUUCAGCUAGAGUUUGAUAGAGGAAAGCAGAAUUUCUAGUGUAGAGGUGAAAUUCGUAGAUAUUAGAAAGAAUACCAAUUGCGAAGGCAGCUUUCUGGAUCAUUACUGACACUGAGGAACGAAAGCAUGGGUAGCGAAGAGGAUUAGAUACCCUCGUAGUCCAUGCCGUAAACGAUGUGUGUUAGACGUUGGAAAUUUAUUUUCAGUGUCGCAGCGAAAGCGAUAAACACACCGCCUGGGGAGUACGACCGCAAGGUUAAAACUCAAAUGAAUUGACGGGGACCCGCACAAGUAGUGGAGCAUGUGGUUUAAUUCGAAGAUACGCGCAGAACCUUACCAACACUUGACAUGUUCGUCGCGACUUUAAGAGAUUAAAGUUUUCGGUUCGGCCGGACGAAACACAGGUGCUGCAUGGCUGUCGUCAGCUCGUGUCGUGAGAUGUUGGGUUAAGUCCCGCAACGAGCGCAACCCUCACUUUUAGUUGCCAUCAUUUAGUUGGGCACUCUGAAAGAACUGCCAGUGAUAAGCUGGAGGAAGGUGGGGAUGACGUCAAGUCCUCAUGGCCCUUACGUGUUGGGCUACACACGUGCUACAAUGGUAUUUACAACAGGAAGCAAGACGGCGACGUUAAGCAAAUCCUUAAAAAAUACCUCAGUUCGGAUUGCACUCUGCAACUCGAGUGCAUGAAGCUGGAAUUACUAGUAAUCGUGGAUCAGCAUGCCACGGUGAAUGCGU